AUACGGAGGGUCCGAGCGUUAUCCGGAUUUAUUGGGUUUAAAGGGUGCGCAGGCGGCCAUUUAAGUCAGCGGUUAAAUCGCGGGGCUCAACCCCAUUCUGCCGUUGAUACUGGGUGGCUUGAUUGCGGGCGAGGUUGGCGGAAUUCGUUGGGGAUCGGGGAAAUGCAUCGAUAUGACGAAGAAAAUCGAUUGCGUAGGCAGCUGACCAGACCGCAAAUGACGCUCAUGCACGAAAGUGCGGGGAUCGAACAGGAUUAGAUUCCUUGGUAGUCCGCACAGUAAACGAUGAAUACUUGUUUUCGGCGAUAUAAUGUCGGAGGCAAAGCGAAAGCGAUAAGUAUUCCACCUGGGGAGUACGCCGGCAACGGUGAAACUCAAAGGAAUUGACGGGG
Molecule: ribosomal RNA, 392 nt
Filed under: uncultured bacterium
Lineage: Bacteria
Description: partial 16S ribosomal RNA
Rfam family: Bacterial small subunit ribosomal RNA
Source: RNAcentral